RNAcentral lists this ribosomal RNA (627 nucleotides) under uncultured fungus. RNAcentral describes it as "eukaryotic LSU rRNA". It matches the Rfam family "Eukaryotic large subunit ribosomal RNA", at positions 24 to 664 of the family's 3401-position model. Lineage: Eukaryota; Fungi. The record is from RNAcentral.
CCCGCUGAACUUAAGCAUAUCAAUAAGCGGAGGAAAAGAAACUAACAAGGAUUCCCUUAGUAGCGGCGAGCGAAGCGGGAAGAGCUCAAAUUUGAAAGCUGGCGUCCUUCGGGCUCCGAGUUGUAAUUUGUAGAAGAUGCUUCGGGUGUGGCUCCGGUCUAAGUUCCUUGGAACAGGACGUCAUAGAGGGUGAGAAUCCCGUACGUGACUGGUUGCCUUCGCCCAUGUGAAGCUCUUUCGACGAGUCGAGUUGUUUGGGAAUGCAGCUCAAAAUGGGUGGUAAAUUUCAUCUAAAGCUAAAUAUUGGCCAGAGACCGAUAGCGCACAAGUAGAGUGAUCGAAAGAUGAAAAGCACUUUGGAAAGAGAGUUAAACAGUACGUGAAAUUGUUGAAAGGGAAGCGCUUGCAACCAGACUUGCACGCUGCUGAUCAUCCGGGGUUCUCCCCGGUGCACUCGGUUGCGUUCAGGCCAGCAUCGGUUUGGGUGGUUGGAUAAAGGCCUUGGGAAUGUAGCUUCUUUCGGGGAGUGUUAUAGCCCUCGGUGCAAUGCAGCCUACCCGGACCGAGGACCGCGCUUCGGCUAGGAUGCUGGCGUAAUGGUUGUAAGCGACCCGUCUUGAAACACGG